GACAGAGGGUGCAAACGUUGUUCGGAAUUAUUGGGCGUAAAGGGCUCGUAGGCGGUCUGUUGCGUCGGGAGUGAAAACUUACAGCUUAACUGUGAGCGUGCUUCUGAUACGGGCAGACUUGAGGUAUUCAGGGGAGAACGGAAUUCCUGGUGUAGCGGUGAAAUGCGCAGAUAUCAGGAGGAACACCGGUGGCGAAGGCGGUUCUCUGGGAAUAUCCUGACGCUGAGGAGCGAAAGUGUGGGGAGCGAACAGG
RNAcentral lists this ribosomal RNA (253 nucleotides) under uncultured bacterium. Its description in RNAcentral is "partial 16S ribosomal RNA". It matches the Rfam family "Bacterial small subunit ribosomal RNA", at positions 524 to 776 of the family's 1533-position model. The record is from RNAcentral.